UCCUUAAUUUAAAAAUACUCUAUUGCUAAAAAUAUGCUAACCAUCAUCUGACUCUUCAAUGAGUCGUUAAUCUUUUUGGUGGAGAGUCUUGCCUCCGUGUUGGUGGUUGCUGACUGAUCAGGGUGGUGGUUGCUGAAGGUCAGGGUGGUUGUGGCAAUUUCUUAAAAUAAGACAACAGUGAAAUUUGCCUCACCGAUUGACUCUUCCUUUCCUGAACAAUUUCUCUGUAGUAUGCAAUGCUGUAAGCAUUUAACCCACACAGAACUUCUUUCAAAAUAAGAAUCCAUCUUUUCAAAUCCUGCUGCUGCUUUAUCAACUAAGCUGACUUAAUAUUCUAAACCCUUUGUUGUCACUUCAAUAACCUUCACAGCAUCUUUACCAGAAGUAGAUUCCAUCUCAAAACACUUUACUCAUUUCAAAGAAGCAACUCCUCGUCCAUUAAAGUUGUAUCAGGACAGGAGGAGGUGGGUAUGGCUCAGUGGUGGAGCACCUGCUCAGCAUGCACGGGGUCCUGGGUUCGAUCCCAGUACCUACAUUUAAAAAUAAAUAAUUACCUCCCCCACCAAAAAAUAAUUAAUUAAUUUUAAAAAAUGUUUUUAAGUUGUAUCAGGAGGUUGCAGCACUUGUCACAUCUUCAGGCUCCACUUGCAGUUCUCUUGCUAUUUCCACCACACCGGCAGUUACGUCUGCUCCUGAUAUCUUGAACCCCUCAAAGCCAUUCAUGAAGGCUGGAAUCAGCUUCUUCCAAACUCCUGUUACUGAGAUUUUGGCUUCUUCCCAUGAAUCAUGAGUGUUGUUAAUGGCAUCUAGUAUAGCGAAUCCUUUCCAGAAGGUUUUCAACCGACUCUGCCCAGUCUCAUCAGAGGAGUUACUGUCUAUGACAGUUAUAACCUUACAAAAUGUAUUUCUUAAGUGAUAAGACUUGAAAGUCAAAAUUACUCCUUGAUCCAUGGGCUACAGAAUGGAUGCUGUGUUAGCAGGCAUGAAAACACUAAUCUCUAGAUCCACAUUAUAUAUAUAAAAUAGGUAAAGAACAAGGACCUACUUAUAGCACAGGGAACUAUAUUAAGUUUCUUGUAAUGAGCUAUAAUGGAAGAGAAUGUGAAAUACAUAUAUAUAUAGAUACAUGUAUAUAGAUAUAUAUAUAUAACUGAAUCACUUUGCUAUACACCUGAAACUAACACUGUAAAUCAACUGCAUUUCAAUAAAAAAUAAGAAUUUAAAAAAAACUAAUUAAAAAGAAGCAUAACCAAUUUAUGGGUAUUUUUUUAAAUUUAUUUUUUUGGUGGAGGUACUGGGGAUUGAAAGCAGGACCCUGUGCAUUCCAGGCAGAAACUCUACCACUAGGCUAUAUCCUCACCCCAGUUUAUGAGUAGCUUGUUAAAAUUUCAGGAUGAAAAGAAUCUGAAACUUUUCUUUUGAGGUAUUAAUAUUAAAAUACACAAAAUAAAGAAUUUUAUUUAAAAAGAACACUAAUCUCAUUUUAUAUCUUCAUCAGAGCUCUUGGGUGACAAGGUACAUUGUCCAUGUGCAGUAAUAUUUUGAAAGUAAUCUUUCUUUUUCUGAACCGUAGUUCUCCACAGUGGGCUAAAAAGAAUCAGUAAACCGUAUUAUAAAUGGAUGUGCUGUCAUCCAGGCUUUGUUGUUCCAUUCCUAGAGCACAGGCAGUGUUGAUUAAGCAUAAUUCUUACGGAGCCAAGGAUUUUCAGAAUGGUAAGUGAGUGCUGGCUUUAACUUAACAGCACCAGCUACAUUAGCUCCUAACAAGAGAGCUUGUCCUUUGAAGCUUUGAAGCCAGGCAUUGACUUCUCCUCCCUAGCUAUGAAAGUCUCAGGUGGCAUCUUCUUCCAGUAAGACAAGGCUGUUUCAUUUACAUUGAAAAUCUGUUGUUUAGUGUAGCCGCCUUCAUUAAUUACCUUAGCAAGGUCUUCUGGGUAACUUGCUGCGGCUUGUAUCAGCACUUACUGCUUUGUCUUGCACUCUUAUGUUAUGGAGAUGGCUUCUUAGACCUCAUAAACUGCUAGCUUCAGACUUGUCUUCUGCAGCUUCCUCCCCUCUCUCAACCUUCAUAGGAGUAAAGAGAGUUAGGGCCUUGCUCUGGAGUAGGCUUUGGCUUAAGGGAAUAUUAUGAUUGGUUUGAUCUAGCCAGACCACUAAGACUUUCUCCAUAUCAGCAAUAAGGCUGCUUCACUUUCUUGUCAUUCAUGUGUUCACUAGACGAGCACUUCUAAUUUCCUUCAAGAACCUUUCCCUUGCACUCACAGUGUGGCUAACUGGUGCAGCAGGCCUAGCUUUUGGCCUGUCUCAGCUUUCGACAUGCCUUCCUCACUCAGCUUAAUCAUUUUUAGCUUUUGAUUGAAAGAUAAAGACAUGUGACUCUUCCUUUCACUUGAACACUUAGAGGUCAUUGUAGGGUUAUUAAUUGGCCUAAUUUCAAUAUUGUUGUGUCUCAGAGAAUAAGGAAGCCCGAGGAGAGGGCGAGAGCUGGGGAAGAGCUGGUCGAUGGAGCAGUGAGAACACCCAUUGUUAUCAGUAAAGUUCACCAUCUUAUUAUUUAGGAAGAGCCUGCUCUGUGCCAGGCACCAUGCGAGGCUUGGUUUAAAAGAUGAAAAGAGCAGAAUGGCUGCACGUAAGGAAUUUCGGUCUAACGGGAGAGGCUGACGUAGACAUCGUUACAUUGGACAGAAAAGGCUGUAGCAGAGAUGACAUCCAACCUUUGCCUUUGAAACAGACAAAGUGUGUGUGGCUGUCAUGUGCUAGCACGGUGCUAAGUGCUCUUGCUUCCCCUCUACUGCUGUGACUGUCACCAGAGAAGGAUGCUGGAUGCGGUGACUUUUUAAACCAAGGAGGGCUUUUCAGGAAACAAUACUGGUGUUAAAUGAGCAACUGCUUGUGGUGCCAGGAAUCUUGAUGUGGGGAGGUUCUCAGAAUCACUUUUCUAAGGCCUCUGUAUGAUGUUAUUCUCUAAUUCUUUGUCUAGUUUUUAUUAAAAAAUACUUGUGAUUUGUUAUUUUUCUAAGUCCAUUCGAAAGAGUUAAACACGAAACCCUGCUUCCCAGUGUGUUGAACACAUGUGACUAUUAUUAGAAAAAUGGCAUUCCUCUUUGGCAUUGAAGGGGUUCAGAAGGAGCCUCCCUAAAACACACCUCUUGAGCAUAUGGGUUAGUUUGAGCUGAAGUCAAUUAAGGUCCAAAAGACUCAGGAAGAGUUGUUGUUGUUCGUAUGGUUGUUCUACCUCCCUCUUCACUGCCUUGAAGAAUUUAUAUGGAGGGUCUGGUCCUAGAAGAGGGCUCUCACCAG
Molecule: long non-coding RNA, 3300 nt
Organism: Camelus dromedarius (Arabian camel)
Lineage: Eukaryota; Metazoa; Chordata; Mammalia; Artiodactyla; Camelidae
Exons: 3
Source: RefSeq, a predicted model, not a curated record